RNAcentral lists this ribosomal RNA (119 nucleotides) under Pteropus alecto (black flying fox). The record is from RNAcentral. Lineage: Eukaryota; Metazoa; Chordata; Mammalia; Chiroptera; Pteropodidae.
GUCUACAGCCAUGAGACCCUGCAUGUGUCCGAUCGCAUCUAACCUUGGUAGCUAAGCAGGGUCGGGCCUGGUUAGUACUUCGUUGGGAGACCACCUAGGAAUACCAGGUGUUGUAGGCG